Molecule: ribosomal RNA, 426 nt
Filed under: uncultured bacterium
Lineage: Bacteria
Description: bacterial SSU rRNA
Rfam family: Bacterial small subunit ribosomal RNA
Source: RNAcentral
AGGGAAUAUUGGACAAUGGGCGCAAGCCUGAUCCAGCCAUGCCGCGUGAGUGAAGAAGGCCCUCGGGUUGUAAAGCUCUUUUGUCCGGAAAGAAAAGCAUCGGGUUAAUACCCCGGUGUUCUGACGGUACCGGAAGAAUAAGCACCGGCUAACUUCGUGCCAGCAGCCGCGGUAAUACGAAGGGUGCAAGCGUUACUCGGAAUUACUGGGCGUAAAGCGUGCGUAGGUGGUUCGUUAAGUCUGAUGUGAAAGCCCUGGGCUUAACCUGGGAAUGGCAUUGGAAACUGGCGGACUGGAGUGCGGUAGAGGGUAGCGGAAUUCCCGGUGUAGCAGUGAAAUGCGUAGAGAUCGGGAGGAACAUCCGUGGCGAAGGCGGUUACCUGGACCAGCACUGACACUGAGGCACGAAAGCGUGGGGAGCAAACA